This 386-nucleotide long non-coding RNA is filed under the name Meriones unguiculatus (Mongolian gerbil). Its description in RNAcentral is "lncRNA (ENSMUGG00000023409.1)". Lineage: Eukaryota; Metazoa; Chordata; Mammalia; Rodentia; Muridae. The record is from RNAcentral.
UCUGCUUAAAUACUUACUAAGAUGAACAUUCGAAGACCCAGUCAGCUCCCGAUUCUGUUUGGUUGUCUCUGACUGGUCAGUUUUUGCUGCCUAAUUCAACUGGACUCUCGUGACUGCUUGGGCUGUUUUGGAUUUUCAGACUCUAACAAUAGUUCUUUCCUUUUCCCAGUGCUGCAGUUGGUUGGUUUGUUCUGAUCCUGGAUUCUGCAUAUUAACUCUGAGGACAUCAUGAGCAAGUGUAUGAAUGUGCGGAGUCAUCCGGGAAGAGGGAACCUCAGCUGAGGAAAUGCCCCUCCCCCCCACCAGGUUGGCUUAUAGGUAAGUCUGCGGGCAUUUUCUUGAUUGAUGAUUGGUGUGGGAGGGCCCAGCCCACUGUGGAUGCAAUG